AGCGCAGGUCGCCCUAUCGCUGUCCCGGGAAAUCGGGAGAGAGGAAAGUCCGGACACCAUAGCACAACAUAGCGGGUAACGCCCGUCGUCCCGUCCCGAUCCCGAUAGCUAUCGGGACUAUCGGGACGGGGAAGGACCAGUGCAACAGAAAGCAAGUACAGUUCGGCUGUAGUGAAAUCGGUAAACUCUAUGUGGUGAAAUGUUAUGUAAACCAAGGCUUGAGGGUUGUGCGCCCGAUCUUGGAGGGUAAACAGAUUGAGGUUUUUGGUAACAAAAAUCCUAGAUAAAUGAUAGGGUCCCGAUUUCGAUCGGGAACAGAAUCCGGCUUACAGACCUGCUUUUUUU
This 345-nucleotide RNase P RNA is filed under the name Psychroflexus aurantiacus. Its description in RNAcentral is "Psychroflexus sp. YR1-1 RNase P RNA component class A". It matches the Rfam family "Bacterial RNase P class A". Rfam says of the family: Ribonuclease P (RNase P) is a ubiquitous endoribonuclease, found in archaea, bacteria and eukarya as well as chloroplasts and mitochondria. The record is from RNAcentral. Lineage: Bacteria; Pseudomonadati; Bacteroidota; Flavobacteriia; Flavobacteriales; Flavobacteriaceae.